CUGUUUAGUUGUAUUUCCCAAUAAAACUGCAGCAAAUUCCAAGACUUCCGUUUCCGGUCUUCUCGAGAGAGAUGAUUCAGAAUUGUGGAUCCUUGUUUGUUCAAUGGAGGCCAUGUCACGUGCGAACAGUAUGCUUGGGUUCUCCGUCUACAGCUGGUAUUAAAACAGAGCAGCUUCGACAGCAACUCGAUAUUCUUCACAAAGAAGCUGAAAGCACAAGAGCCAAAGCAAACAACGUAAGAUUGAGGCUGUUGCGGUUGUCUGAAGCAGCAGAGAAGCUUCGACGACAAGCGUCCAUUAGUGUUCAAACUGGAGAGGAAAAUGAUGCGCGGGAGUUGCUUUUUCAAAAGAAGAAGGUUAUGCAAGCCAUGGAGAAAUCAAAGGGUCGGAUUGAAGUUCUUGAUGAGUUUGCAGUGAAACUCAAUGAGGCAAUAUCAAUAAAGGAAGGUCAACUGAUUGGAAAUGUUGCUUUAGAUCUUGAAGUUGGUGGGGAAGAUGGCCCUAGUCCCAUUCGAAUUGUAUCUUCUAAAGGGGAAAACACGAGCAUGUCAAAUGAAAAUCUAGACUUGGAAUCAGAUCCCCCAAAAUAUGUACAGAAUCAAGACCCACUAGUUGUUUCUGCAAGUCAAGGGGAGCUUUAUGCUGAGAAGAUUGAGAACAAUCAUGAGGAAUCUAUCAAUCGUAAUGUGCAGAAUGAAGUUAACAAUGAACAAAAUGUAAAGGAAAUAACCUCAUAUGAGGACUUCAUGUGUCACCUGGAUCAACAGCUAAACAAAAUGCAAAUGGAACUUCAAACAUUUUUGAGGUUUUCAGCCUUAAUACUAGAAAGCGAGGAAAAGCCUGAAAAUUGUAAGGUCCAUCAUGCCAUGGAGAUUCUUGAGGGUAUUCGUCAUGUUAGAGAAAGAAUUGCAAACAUCGCACAGACAAAAGUGUCAUUCGAGUAAAUUUCCUUCAGCAGGUGAUAUGAUGAAGAAGGAAAACUACAUUUUAUAUCUGGAUUCACAGUUCUGCAUUGGAAAAUUUAAUACGUACAUAAAAUGAAAAGAUUAAUAUAACUGGGCGGAUGGAGUUCUUGCUUCUUCAAGGUCACGUGUCACACAGUUCACUGUUUGCAUAUUCAGCUCGAAAUUGGAAUCCAUCGUCCUUAGCGUGGGAUCAGCAAUAACAAGUUACCCACAAUUGCUGCAACUCCCAUUUCCUUGGGAUUGUAUGUGUAAUCACAUUUAUACAUUUAAUAGUGAUAUGUGGGAUGACAAAAUUCUCCGCUACUCCGACAUUGCCCCCAACCUGAAAGGGACGGGGAACCGUCCCACCCCCAAAUUCCACAAAUUUGCCCCAUUUCUUUUAAUUAGAUUGUGUUUUGUUUAA
Olea europaea var. sylvestris is the source of this 1368-nucleotide RNA transcript. RefSeq lists it as uncharacterized. Lineage: Eukaryota; Viridiplantae; Streptophyta; Magnoliopsida; Lamiales; Oleaceae. The record is from RefSeq and is a predicted model, not a curated record. The transcript is spliced from 5 exons.